This is a non-coding RNA of Macaca mulatta (Rhesus monkey), 1000 nucleotides long. The record is from RefSeq and is a predicted model, not a curated record. Lineage: Eukaryota; Metazoa; Chordata; Mammalia; Primates; Cercopithecidae.
CUACGCCACCAACCUCUCGCGCACAGACCUGCACUCCACGUGGCAGUACUACGAGCGCACGGUCACCGUGCCCAUGUACAGUUCGCAAACUCAAACCUACGGGGCCUCCAGACUCAUCCCCCGUUGAAUCAGCUGGAGCUGCUGAGGAACCUCAAGAGUAAAUCUGGACUUGCUUUCAGGAAGGAGCCCCCGCCGGAGCCGUCUCCAAGGUCAGUGCCCCUCGCCGCUGCCCUGGUGUCUGCCGUGUACACAACCGUCUGGUCUCUCUCCCACACGUUGGCACAACCUGUUGUGGAGACAUGAGGGCCUCGUGUGUGCUUCCGUGUGUGACCGUGUGACUGUGUCCAGACCCCCGCCUGGCGGUGAUGUGGGCCCUUAAAUCACUUUUCCUGCUCACCCCUCCCCAGUGAUUCGGUUUUACUUUGCAGCACUGUGGAUCCGGGCAGCUGGGUGGCUUCUCGGGGGGAUCCCCCACCCCGCCCACAAGUCUGGCCCCAGGGCUCUCGGAGGCAGGGGUUUCUGUUAGCGCACUCCCUCCAGCCGCAGGCACACAGCCUGAGCUCACAGCUGGCCUGAGUCGGGCCGGCCGGGGUGGAAGCUCCGAGUGGGCCUCUGGCCUUCCCUCCCGCUGUUCUGGUUCGGGAGUAUCUGGAGCACAUGCACAGACCAGGGGCCCCCUGUCCUCCGGGGAGGGUGGGACAUCCUCUCUGCCUCGCGCCCCUGGGUGGAGAUUCUGGCCAGCCUCCUCUCCCUGUUUGCCAAGGUCAAGGUGGGCCAAGGGUGCAGGUGCUCAGCCUGGUUCCCUCUCCCGGUCCCUGAGGUUCUGCGGGUCAGGCAGAUUGGAGACAGGACUCGUGUAAGGGGUGAAGGAUGGAGACAGAGAAAAUCAAGAUCAUUUCACAAGUGAAUUCUAUGUCUGCCGAGCCCCAGCCCCCCAUGCGUCACCCUGAGGAGGUCCCAGGCUUCUCUCGGCCCCAUCCACAUGUUGCAGAGUAAAUCU